RNAcentral lists this long non-coding RNA (1427 nucleotides) under Cyanistes caeruleus (blue tit). RNAcentral's name for it is "lncRNA (ENSCCEG00000007143.1)". Lineage: Eukaryota; Metazoa; Chordata; Aves; Passeriformes; Paridae. The record is from RNAcentral.
UAACGGGGCAGCUGUGGCAGCAAGGAGACCCCUCAAGAUCCCGAAAGGAGAGCGCAAUUCCUUGGAGCAGCACUCCAAUAAAUAAUUAUAAUAUCAUAUCAUAUCAGGCUGGGAACUGCCCUGCGUUCCGCCUUCUUCCCGUGGAAUGGAGAUUCCUCCUUUUCUGGAGUUUAUCCCAAAAACAUCCAAAUGUUCUCCUGGGAAUGCCGGCGGUGAGGUCUGGAGCCUCCUGCCCUGGAGGUGUCCAGGGAAUUCCUGGAUGUGGCACCCAGGUGGGGACUGGGAACAGCUUGGACUGACCUUGGAGGGCUUUUCCGACCUCAGGGAUUCCGGAAUUCCAUUUUCCAAGCGCUGCUCUCCCUUCUCCGGAUUUUUCACCCUGGUACAGAGCUUUGAAGAUGAAAGCGCCGCGCGCAAUAAAUAUUAACGUUAUCCCAACGUUGCCAGCAUUCCAGCUCCAACAUUCCUCGUCCAAGAAUCUCCCAGCGCUUUUCCAAAUGUGAAUUGAUUUCCUCUCAGUUCGGGGAGGCACCUUUUACCUUCAGCAUCCUCAUUUCCCCGGGGAGGCGUCCUCCGAGCGUUUCACCCCGCCGAUUCGGGAAAAACCUGGAGGUUUUUUUGGGAUUGAUCCAACAAUUCCCGCCUCCCGUUUUCCCAGCCUUGCUGCCCCACCACAUUCCCGGCCUGGGAGUGGGGUGUGACACUCGGCUCCUUUAUUGGUGGCGCUUAAAAAAAUCCAGACAACCUUCAUGAACCCCACCCAGGGCAGGGGAGGAAAUGAAACUCUUCCAAAUCAGGAUGGUCCCGGACGGGAAUCCAGGAAUUUUCAGGAUUUUGGAUAUGCAGGAUGAAAUUUUGAUGUGAUGUUGAGUCAGAAUCUCAUAAUUCUUAUUAAAAAUACGAUUAAAAUGGAAAUAUUUUCUCAAAUAUUCUUCUUCCUUCUCGUGCUGCAUCUGCAGGUGAAGAUCUGAGCUGAAGGAAAUGAAACUCUUCGAAAUCAGGACGAUCCCAGCCAGGAAUCCAUGAAUUUUCAGGAUUUUGGAUGUCCAGGAGGAAAUCUUGACAGGAUGUUGAGUCACAAUCUUGGAAUUUUUAUUUAAAACCUGAUUAAAAUGGAAAUAUUUCCUGGAAUGCAGCAGAGGUGAAGAUCUGAGCUGAAGGAAAGGAAACUCUUCCAAACCUGGACAAUCCCGGUCGGGAAUCCAUGAAUUUUCAGGAUUUUGGAUGUGCAGGAGGAAAUCUAGAUGGGAUAUUGAGUCAGAGUCUCAUAAUUCUUAUUUAAAAUGUGAUUAAAAUGGAAAUAUUUCCUGGAAUGCAUCACAGGUGAAGAUCUGAGCUGAAGGAAAUGAAACUCCUCCAAAUCAGGAUGAUCCCAGCCGGGAAUCCACCGAUUCCUGGGAUUUUGGAUGUCCAGGCAGAAAUCUCGA